CCUACGGGAGGCAGCAGUGAGGAAUAUUGGUCAAUGGACGUGAGUCUGAACCAGCCAAGUAGCGUGAAGGAUGACUGCCCUAUGGGUUGUAAACUUCUUUUAUAUGGGAAUAAAACGUUCCACGUGUGGGAUUUUGUAUGUACCAUCUGAAUAAGGAUCGGCUAACUCCGUGCCAGCAGCCGCGGUAAUACGGAGGAUCCGAGCGUUAUCCGGAUUUAUUGGGUUUAAAGGGCGCGUAGGUGGAUUGUUAAGUCAGUUGUGAAAUGUUGCGGCUCAACCGUAACAUUGCAGUUGAAACUGGCAGUCUUGAGUACAGUAGAGGUGGGCGGAAUUCGUGGUGUAGCGGUGAAAUGCUUAGAUAUCACGAAGAACUCCGAUUGCGAAGGCAGUUCACUGGACUGCAACUGACACUGAGGCUCGAAAGUGUGGGUAUCAAACAGGAUUAGAUACCCCAGUAGUC
This 460-nucleotide ribosomal RNA is filed under the name uncultured bacterium. Its description in RNAcentral is "partial 16S ribosomal RNA". It matches the Rfam family "Bacterial small subunit ribosomal RNA", at positions 338 to 795 of the family's 1533-position model. The record is from RNAcentral.